GAUGAACGCUGGCGGCGUGCCUAAUACAUGCAAGUCGAGCGAACAGACGAGGAGCUUGCUCCUCUGACGUUAGCGGCGGACGGGUGAGUAACACGUGGAUAACCUACCUAUAAGACUGGGAUAACUUCGGGAAACCGGAGCUAAUACCGGAUAAUAUAUUGAACCGCAUGGUUCAAUAGUGAAAGACGGUUUUGCUGUCACUUAUAGAUGGAUCCGCGCCGCAUUAGCUAGUUGGUAAGGUAACGGCUUACCAAGGCAACGAUGCGUAGCCGACCUGAGAGGCUGAUCGGCCACGCUGGAACUGGAACACGAUCCGGACUCCUGCGGGAGGCAGCAGUAGGGAAUCUUCCGCAAUGGGCGAAAUCCUGACGAAGCAACACCGCGUGAGUGAUGGAGGUCUUCGGAUCGUAAAACUCUGUUAUUAGGGAAGAACAAAUGUCUAAGUAACUAUGCACGUCUUGACGGUACCUAAUCAGAAAGCCACGGCUAACUACGUG
RNAcentral lists this ribosomal RNA (497 nucleotides) under uncultured bacterium. RNAcentral describes it as "partial 16S ribosomal RNA". It matches the Rfam family "Bacterial small subunit ribosomal RNA", at positions 28 to 507 of the family's 1533-position model. The record is from RNAcentral.